UACGAAGGGGGCUAGCGUUGUUCGGAAUUACUGGGCGUAAAGCGCACGUAGGCGGAUAUUUAAGUCAGGGGGUGAAAUCCCAGAGCUCAACUCUGGAACUGCCUUUGAUACUGGGUAUCUUGAGUAUGGAAGAGGUAAGUGGAAUUGCGAGUGUAGAGGUGAAAUUCGUAGAUAUUUGCAGGAACACCAGUGGCGAAGGCGGCUUACUGGUCCAUUACUGACGCUGAGGUGCGAAAGCGUGGGGAGCAAACAGG
Molecule: ribosomal RNA, 254 nt
Filed under: uncultured bacterium
Lineage: Bacteria
Description: partial 16S ribosomal RNA
Rfam family: Bacterial small subunit ribosomal RNA
Source: RNAcentral